Molecule: ribosomal RNA, 219 nt
Filed under: Giardia duodenalis
Lineage: Eukaryota; Fornicata; Diplomonadida; Hexamitidae
Description: Giardia intestinalis partial 18S ribosomal RNA
Source: RNAcentral
AAGCCAUGCAUGCCCGCGCACCCGGGAGGCGGCGGACGGCUCAGGACAACGGUUGCACCCCCCGCGGCGGUCCCUGCUAGCCGGACACCGCUGGCAACCCGGCGCCAAGACGUGCGCGCAAGGGCGGGCGCCCGCGGGCGAGCAGCGUGACGCAGCGACGGCCCGCCCGGGCUUCCGGGGCAUCACCCGGUCGGCGCGGUCGCGGCGCGCCGAGGGCCC